CGGGGCGUGGCGCAGCUUGGUAGCGCGUUCGGCUGGGGGCCGAAAGGUCGCGAGUUCAAAUCUCGCCGCCCCGACUA
RNAcentral lists this transfer RNA (77 nucleotides) under Actinomycetes bacterium. RNAcentral's name for it is "Actinobacteria bacterium tRNA-Pro". It matches the Rfam family "tRNA". Rfam says of the family: Transfer RNA (tRNA) molecules are approximately 80 nucleotides in length. Their secondary structure includes four short double-helical elements and three loops (D, anti-codon, and T loops). The record is from RNAcentral. Lineage: Bacteria; Bacillati; Actinomycetota; Actinomycetes.